GAUGAACGCUGGCGGCGUGCCUAAUACAUGCCAGUCGAGCGAACAGACGAGGAGCUUGCUCCUCUGACGUUAGCGGCGGACGGGUGAGUAGCACGUGGAUAACCUACCUAUAAGACUGGGAUAACUUCGGGAAACCGGAGCUAAUACCGGAUAAUAUAUUGAACCGCAUGGUUCAAUAGUGAAAGACGGUUUUGCUGUUACUUAUAGAUGGAUCCGCGCCGCACUAGCUAGUUGGUAAGGUAACGGCUUACCAAGGCAACGAUGCGUAGCCGACCUGAGAGGGUGAUCGGCCACACUGGAACUGAGACACGGUCCAGACUCCUACGGGAGGCAGCAGUAGGGAAUCUUCCGCAAUGGGCGAAAGCUUGACGGAGCAACGCCGCGUGAGUGAUGAAGGUCUUCGGAUCGUAAAACUCUGUUAUUAGGGAAGAACAAAUGUGUAAGUAACUAUGCACGUCUUGACGGUACCUAAUCAGAAAGCCACGGCUAACUACGU
This 496-nucleotide ribosomal RNA is filed under the name uncultured bacterium. RNAcentral describes it as "partial 16S ribosomal RNA". It matches the Rfam family "Bacterial small subunit ribosomal RNA", at positions 28 to 506 of the family's 1533-position model. The record is from RNAcentral.